CAAAAAACUACUUAGACAGACUAUGAAGAGAUACAUAGGGUGAGAAACGGAGGCCUUCAGCCAACAGCUGGGAGAAGCUGAGUCCCAUCAGCCAUUCAAAAGACUGCAGCCCCAGCCAAGAGUUUGAUGUAACCUCAGGAGAGACCCUGAGCCAGAACCACCUAGGCCAACGAGCUAUACCUAGUGAUUCCAAAGUCCACAUAUAUUUACUCUGUUCUCACUGUACAAAGUAACCACUCUGAAGUCAAAAAAGCUGGGAUACAUGAAGACUGCCAUCCCUUGAGUCACUUGCCCUGUAGCUGCCACUGUUGGAAAAGGGCUUGCUUCUGUGUCCUUGUGCCCACUUUGAAAAUCCCUGGGAAGUCCUUGGAGUCAGAUGAGCAGGCCUCCGCCACUCUGCCAAAAAGUCUGUUCAAUCAGGAGUCCCCAACCCCUGAGCCAUGGACUGAUAUGGAGCUAUGGUCUGUUAGGAACUGGGCUGCCCAGGAGGAGGAAGUUUCACAUCACUAGAGAAGAGAGAAGAAGGACAUUUGUACUGGGAGGAGUCGACCGGUCCCAGUAAGGAGAAAGUAGCUACAGCGUCAUGGGUGAGCUGGGUCCCCCAAAAAGGAACUUUAAGGGAAUGGACUGAAUCAAGUCUGAGAUGUCCCCAAAGCAAGACCAAAGAACUGAGGAAGAGAAGCAUUCAUCAGAAACCAAAAUUCAGCUACAAGUGAGCAUCCAGAUGGAGGUAUUAUGAAGAGGAACUGAGACUGAGGGCAAAAGGUGCCAGCCAGAAUCCUGGAUAGGAGAGCAAGAACCAGGACCUCAUUUAAGAGACAACCUGCUUAAGGCAGAGUAAGGUGAGAUUGGAUUCACGCAAAGACCUGGAAUUCAAGUAGGUUAAUGAACAGACAGUGUGUGCCUAUACCACGAAUUUACAAUAAUAAUAAGGGUGCUAAUAAUCACAUGGAAUUGUAGAGUAUAAUGAAAAUAUACACACUGGAGAGAAAUUGCACGGGUUGGCAUCUCAGCUUUGUCAUUUACUAUAACAGUGACCUUGGGCAAGUUAUUUAACCACUCUCUGCCUCAAUUUCCUGAUCAGUAAAAUGAGCUAAUAAUACUUUCUUUUUAUUUUGAGAUGGAGUCUCACUCUUUCACUGAGGCUGGAGUGCAGUGGUGCGAUCUCGGCUCACUGCAGCCUCCACCUCCCAGGUUCAAGCGAUUCUCCUGCCUCAGCCUCCCCAGUAACCAGGAUUACAAACAUGCACCACCAUACCCAGCUAACAUAAAUAUGAAUAUAUUAUAUAUAUAUUUGUACUUUUAGUAGAGAUGAGGUUUCACCAUGUUGGCCAGGCUGGUCUUGAAUUCCUGACCUCAAGUGAUCUGCCUGCCUCGGUCUCCCAAAGUGCUGAGAUUACAGGCAUAAACCACCAGGCUUGCACUAUUGAUAAUUAUUAUAGCAUAAAGUUUUUCUGAGGACUAAAUGGGGCAAAAUACGUAAAACACUAAUUAUAAUUAUUGGCAAAUCCCAUAAUGCUUGUUGUUAUUAGUAUACUUAGAAUUAUUUUAACAUUAAAAACUGAAAACUGAAGCUCUGAGAGUCUGUGUGACUUUGAGGAUUAAAGAACUGAAAAAUGGUAGAAGUAGAAUUUGAACUAAGAAAGUACGGUUAUUGAAUGCAUGGAUUUAAUCCCUAUUAAAUACUUUAUCUUCCAAAAUCUAUGACUCUUUAGUCUUCUUUGUUAACAAAACCUACUUUACGAAAU
This 1748-nucleotide long non-coding RNA is filed under the name Homo sapiens (human). RNAcentral describes it as "HSALNT0318296". Lineage: Eukaryota; Metazoa; Chordata; Mammalia; Primates; Hominidae. The record is from RNAcentral.